Molecule: long non-coding RNA, 1060 nt
Organism: Lolium rigidum
Lineage: Eukaryota; Viridiplantae; Streptophyta; Magnoliopsida; Poales; Poaceae
Exons: 2
Source: RefSeq, a predicted model, not a curated record
ACAAAAUCACAACCGCACCGAAAGUUCUGCUCCUCGCCUCCUGUAACCUAGCCGCCUCCCUCCUCUCACACAAGGAGCCAUGGCCGAGCAUGGUCUCCCUCGCCGGUGACACGGCUCAGGUUUGGACCUCCCACCCCUCGCUUCCCAUAGAUAGGAUUCAAUCAAGGACAACUCGAUGAGAUGAAUCGACCACAGGUUCGCGUACCAUGAAAUUCGGAUCAAGAACACUUCCGAUGCGGCCAAGAUGGAUUUGGAAUAAUCCGCGAUGUUGUAGUUUCUAGAAGAAACGUGUCGAUGAGAUGAACCUGGCGGAGAAAGGGCUCGACAAAGAUUCAGGUUUAAGGAUUAAUUUCUCUAUUCCACAUGUCAAACCCCUCUCUCAUUAUCCCUUUGGCUUGAUCUGUGUUCGUCAGUUUUCCAGGAUUUUUGUCCAUCCGUCCCCAUUCAUGUGGACAGCAGCUCAUCAUGUGGAGGAAUACUUUUCUUGUUUAGAUUGGUUAGACGAGGAGCGUCAUAGAGUCUUGCAAUGUUUCCAUCUCGUGGUUUUCCAAGUUAACUGUAUUGGACGUGUUAGAGCUGACAUUAUCGAUGCAGGUUAAUGGUCACUGACUAAUGGAAUUUGCCAGAUAUCUUCCUUUUGCUUGACAGGGUGCGGAACUGCGGAAGAGUCAGCAACAAUGGCAUAACUUCAUUGCUGUGCGGUAGUGCUACCACCAACAAAUUUUUGGUCUUAUUAGGGAAUGUACCAAGAAUAUGAGGUCACAUACGUCGGCGAGAAUUGCUAUUUGGAUAUCAGCACUGGAUAUGGUAGAGGAAAUAUAAGAAAUACCAUAUAUAGACUAGGGUGGAUAUGAUAUCUUGAUGUAAGAUCAUAAAUUGUCAAAUUCAGACGAUUUUGAUGUAUUGAAUGGUGUCCCACAGAGUACAUAGGACUAUGUAGUGUAUCAUAUUAUGAUGCAAGAUUGUAAAAUGAUUACUCUUCAGAUGAUUUUUGUGUAUCGAAUGGUGUACACUAAUAAAUAUUCAAUUAUAUGUGAUGAAAUGCAUACAUAUUCUUUUA